GCCCCGGUAGCCCAACUGGCAGAGGCAGUCGACUUAAAAUCGACACAGUGCGGGUUCGAUCCCCGUCCGGGGCACGA
RNAcentral lists this transfer RNA (77 nucleotides) under Amycolatopsis japonica. RNAcentral describes it as "tRNA-Leu". It matches the Rfam family "tRNA". Rfam says of the family: Transfer RNA (tRNA) molecules are approximately 80 nucleotides in length. Their secondary structure includes four short double-helical elements and three loops (D, anti-codon, and T loops). RNAcentral also lists the same sequence under 2 other names. Lineage: Bacteria; Bacillati; Actinomycetota; Actinomycetes; Pseudonocardiales; Pseudonocardiaceae. The record is from RNAcentral.